GACGAACGCUGGCGGCGUGCUUAACACAUGCCAGUCGAACGGAAAGGCCCUGCUUUUGUGGGGUGCUCGAGUGGCGAACGGGUGAGUAACACGUGAGUAACCUGCCCUUGACUUUGGGAUAACUUCAGGAAACUGGGGCUAAUACCGGAUAGGAGCUCCUGCUGCAUGGUGGGGGUUGGAAAGUUUCGGCGGUUGGGGAUGGACUCGCGGCUUAUCAGUUUGUUGGUGGGGUAGUGGCUUACCAAGGCUUUGACGGGUAGCCGGCCUGAGAGGGUGACCGGCCACAUUGGGACUGAGAUACGGCCCAGACUCCUACGGGAGGCAGCAGUGGGGAAUAUUGCACAAUGGGCGGAAGCCUGAUGCAGCAACGCCGCGUGCGGGAUGACGGCCUUCGGGUUGCAAACCGCUUUCGCCUGUGACGAAGCGUGAGUGACGGUAAUGGGUAAAGAAGCACCGGCUAACUACGUA
This 468-nucleotide ribosomal RNA is filed under the name uncultured bacterium. RNAcentral's name for it is "partial 16S ribosomal RNA". It matches the Rfam family "Bacterial small subunit ribosomal RNA", at positions 28 to 507 of the family's 1533-position model. The record is from RNAcentral.